CUGCCUUGCACCGGGGGAUAACACUUAGAAAUAGGUGCUAAUACCGCAUAAGCGCACGGAGCUGCAUGGCUCAGUGUGAAAAACUCCGGUGGUGCAAGAUGGACCCGCGUCUGAUUAGCUUGUUGGCGGGGUAACGGCCCACCAAGGCGACGAUCAGUAGCCGGCCUGAGAGGGUGGACGGCCACAUUGGGACUGAGACACGGCCCAAACUCCUACGGGAGGCAGCAGUGGGGAAUAUUGGACAAUGGGGGGAACCCUGAUCCAGCGACGCCGCGUGAGUGAAGAAGUAUCUCGGUAUGUAAAGCUCUAUCAGCAGGGAAGAAAGAAAUGACGGUACCUGACCAAGAAGCCCCGGCUAACUACGUGCCAGCAGCCGCGGUAAUACGUAGGGGGCAAGCGUUAUCCGGAUUUACUGGGUGUAAAGGGAGCGUAGACGGUAAUGCAAGUCUGGAGUGAAAUGCAGGGGCUCAACCCCUGAACUGCUUUGGAAACUGUAUGACUGGAGUGCAGGAGAGGUAAGUGGAAUUCCUAGUGUAGCGGUGAAAUGCGUAGAUAUUAGGAGGAACACCAGUGGCGAAGGCGGCUUACUGGACUGUAACUGACGUUGAGGCUCGAAAGCGUGGGGAGCAAACAGGAUUAGAUACCCUGGUAGUCCACGCCGUAAAC
This 666-nucleotide ribosomal RNA is filed under the name uncultured bacterium. RNAcentral describes it as "bacterial SSU rRNA". It matches the Rfam family "Bacterial small subunit ribosomal RNA", at positions 126 to 807 of the family's 1533-position model. The record is from RNAcentral.